AUCACACUGGGGGAGCUAGUUGUGCCCGAAAUACUUAUCCUAACCACAAAGAAUGAGAGGUCCAAGGCAGAACUAAUAACUGGAAUGAAGUU
RNAcentral lists this ribosomal RNA (92 nucleotides) under Olea europaea subsp. europaea. RNAcentral's name for it is "SSU_rRNA_bacteria". The record is from RNAcentral. Lineage: Eukaryota; Viridiplantae; Streptophyta; Magnoliopsida; Lamiales; Oleaceae.